This 364-nucleotide unclassified non-coding RNA is filed under the name Hevea brasiliensis (rubber tree). Lineage: Eukaryota; Viridiplantae; Streptophyta; Magnoliopsida; Malpighiales; Euphorbiaceae. The record is from RNAcentral.
AGAAUGCUUUGAGCUCAGCAAGACCCCUUUAAUAUCAUCAAAGGUCGGUCAAUACAGAACUCUUGCUAUGCUCAAAUGUCCUUGCUGAGAAGGAAAUAGGGGAAGGGGUUUUGUGGACUGGGGAUACCACACCUUUCUGAAUUGUUCACCAUCAUCAUUUCUCUUUAGUUUUCUGCAAGAAUGUGUAAAUAGUUGGAUUUUGUCAUCUUGCUGAAGCGCUAUCAUUUUUUGGAACUUUCAUGGAUAACUAACAACUUAUUCUUCUCUUUAUCUGUCCAUUGCCUGUUUUGGGAGUCAGGUUGAUGUCUGGUCUGCUGGAGUUCUAUUUUACCAAAUGCUGUUUGGCAGACGUCCUUUUGGGCAU